GUGCUUCACGCCUGUAAUCCCAGCACUUUGGGAGGCUGAGGUGGGUGGAUCAGGAGGUCAGGAGUUCGAGACCAGCCUGGCCAACAUGGUGAAACCCCGUCUCUACUAAAAAUACAAAAUUAGCUGGGCGUGGUGGUGCACGCCUGUAAUCCCAGCUACUCAGGAGGCUGAGGCAGGAGAAUUGCUUGAACCCAGGAGGUGGGGAGGUUUCAGUGAGCUGAGAUUGUAUCAUUGCACUCCAUCCUGGACAACAGAGUGAGACUCGGUCUCAAAAAAAAAAAAAAAAUCAACCUGCUCCCUGAAUGAAUAUUCAACUGCUUUAUCUGAAAUGUCCUCCCUUGCUCAACUUCCUUUUACAACCAUAUCUCCCCUUCCCUCACCCUGAGCUUUUACUCUCCAUUCUUCUCCUACCCUCUUCUCUCUGACAGUUUCACUUCCUCUUUGCAUACAGAUUCUACCACCAUCUGGUGGGUGCUAGUUGGGAUGUAAGUGGCGUGGGGCUAUCAGAGGCAGUGCCUCUGCUAGAUUACCCUCGGCCUAGGCUUCAUCCCUGUGGGUCCUGAAUAGAGACUUUCCCAAGACGCUUAGAAAUAAACAGUGACAUUGCCUUAAAAGCGGGGGCUGAGGAGGGGUUGCCAGAGAGAGGGAAGAAGAACCAGGAGAGAGGGGUGUCCCAGAAGGCAAAGGAAAAGAGCCUGUUUCCUACCAAGGUGUGGCCUGAUAGCAUGAAGGCUCAAAAUUAUCGAUGGAUUCAGGAGAUGAGAGGUUAUGGGUGGAACUCUCCUAGGACAGAUUCAGUGGAGAAGGAAGGAGGGAACCUGACUGACCUUGGAGGACGUGGCAAGUGAAGAAGUGCCGAGGGAAAAAAAUAGCAUCAAAAUGGAAAAUGGAGAGAAAGGAACAAGCCAAAACAAUUUAAGUGAUGAAAAAUGGGGGAACGGACAGAGCGAAGGGAACAGGGAAAAGCUGGCUGUGUCUGGGUAGUUCAACACGUAUGUCUCAAGACUAAGGAGGACAGGUAGGUGUAGGGGAGAUGGAAUGUUGGGGAGUAGUGUCAGGAGCAGUGGGAUGACAGAAUUAGAUUUCUGCUUCAGGCCGGGUGAGGCGGCCUGUAAUCCCAGCACGUUGGGAAUCCGAGGCGGCAGAUCACCUGAGGUCAGGAGUUCAAGACCAACCUGGCCAACAUGGGGAAACCUGUCUCUACAAAAAUACAAAAAUUAGCC
This 1223-nucleotide long non-coding RNA is filed under the name Pan troglodytes (chimpanzee). RNAcentral describes it as "long non-coding RNA NONPTRT017920". The record is from RNAcentral. Lineage: Eukaryota; Metazoa; Chordata; Mammalia; Primates; Hominidae.